CCUACGGGGAGCAGCAGUGGGGAAUAUUGCACAAUGGGGGAAACCCUGAUGCAGCGACGCCGCGUGAGCGAUGAAGUAUUUCGGUAGGUAAAGCGCUAUCAGCAGGGAAGAAAAGGACGGUAACUGACUAAGAAGCCCCGGCUAACUACGGGCCAGCAGCCUCGGUAAUACGUAGGGGGGAAGCGUUAUCCGGAUUUACGGGGUGUAAAGGGAGCGUAGACGGCGGUGCAAGCCAGAUGUCAACGCCCGGGGCUCAACCCCGGGACUGCAUUUGGAACUGUGCUGCUAGAGUGUCGGAGAGGCAGGCGGAAUUCCUAGUGUAGCGGUGAAAUGCGUAGAUAUUAGGAGGAACACCAGUGGCGAAGGCGGCCUGCUGGACGAUGACUGACGUUGAGGCUCGAAAGCGUGGGGAGCAAACAGGAUUAGAUACCCCUGGUAGUC
RNAcentral lists this ribosomal RNA (441 nucleotides) under uncultured bacterium. RNAcentral's name for it is "partial 16S ribosomal RNA". It matches the Rfam family "Bacterial small subunit ribosomal RNA", at positions 338 to 795 of the family's 1533-position model. The record is from RNAcentral.